Molecule: non-coding RNA, 29 nt
Filed under: Rattus norvegicus (Norway rat)
Lineage: Eukaryota; Metazoa; Chordata; Mammalia; Rodentia; Muridae
Source: RNAcentral
CGCCAGAUUUUCAGGUUUUCAAAUUUGAU